AUGGAGACCCGCUUCCUGUUCUGCAGACAGUGCGUGGGUCCCGUGUGUCGGCCCCCACAGGGCAUGGAGACCCGCUCCCUGUUUGAAGACAGUGCCUGGGUCCCGUGUGUCGGCCCCUGCCUCUUCGGCUCUUGCAGAAUUUAUGGACUGGAGCGAGCGCUGCUGAACUGUCGACAGCUUCAGCGCGAAGCGGUGCAGCAGCACGGGCCGUACUCGGGCCCUGGGCCCCUGUGCACUGCCGCAAGCGGAGGUUCUCCGUUCCCUGGGCGAGAGCGCAGUGGGGCUGCGCACGUGGCACGCCCAGGUGAGGUGAUAAGCACGUAUGAGGAGGUGCCCAGGACCCUCGGGACCGUCCUGCCGGGCUCCAGUGGGCUCUCCAGAGCCAGGAGGGACCGUCACGGCCCGGGAAGCCUGGGCUGGAACCAGGCUCAGCUGCAUGCGGGCGGGGGUAGGGGCCGGUCCGGGCGUGGGGCGGGGCGAGUCCGGGUGUGUGUAGGGGGCGUUGAGGAUGGAAGAGGAGGGCGAGGGUGCGUCCCGGCCCCACCCCUGAGGCUGUGCGGUCACGGGGAGCGUGGUCAGGCGCGGAAAGCCCUCGCCUGGCGCUGUCCGUCUGCUGGUCAGCGCAGAGCCAGAGCCGGGGGCUGGGGUGGGGACGGCGAGGACAGGUGCGGCCGAGGGCUGGGCGAGAGCAGCAGGUGCAGCAGGGGUGGGGGUCAGGGCAGCAGCUGUAGGAGUGGCCUUGACCCAUCCCCCCCCAGCUGCCCCUUCACUGGAAGCCCGCGGGCCAUCGCCGGGUGGAAGCGCGCAGGCGCAGAACGCGCGCCUGAGCCGUGCGGUGCGGUGCGGUGCGGAAGCAGCCGCGAUGCCCUCGGGUCGCGGGCCACUGGCGAGCUUUUGGGAGCGCCGAGGGCUGCAGCUGCUGCAUCAAGUGCGGGUCAAAGAAGAACGAAUCGUGGAGCUCGAGACCGAAAAUGCUGCUCUCCACCUGAGGCUGGCCGAGGUAGGCUCGCCGGGGGCUGCGGUGGGUCGGCGGCGUCCGGGGCGCCCUGGCUUGGUGCCCGUGUGGAAGGAGGAGCUACAGGUGAUGCUGCCUUGGCCCUGGCCUCCGGCAGUGGGUGGGAGGGGCUGCACCUGGCGUUCAGUGCACGUCUUUCCGGCACAGGCAGGUCCACGUUCCCGAUCUCAGCGUCCGCUGGCUCCCAGAGUUCUGAGCGUGUGAGGGCCUGUGCUUCCCCACACGGCUGUCGUGCACCGUGUCCGGUGUACGGCCCCAGGCCCGGCCACGCUGGAGCCCUGGCGCUGUGACAGCUCCCGGGCCCAGGGACUUGGGCAGACCCGCAUCUCGUGGAUGUGGAGGGUUGGGUGUGGGGUGUGGGGUGAGCCCUCCUGGGGUCCGUGGGUGCCCUCCAGGGGUCAGUGGGGUGAGCCCUCCAGGGGUCAGUGGGUGCCCUCCAAGGGUCCGUGGGUGCCCUCCUGGGGUCCGUGGGUGCCCUCCAGGGGUCCAUGGGUGAGCCCUCCAGGGGUCAGUGGGUGCCCUCCAGGGGUCUGUGGGGUGAGCCCUCCUGGGGUCCAUGGGUGCCCUCCAGGGAUCCAUGGGUUGAGCCCUCCAGGGGCUCAGUGGGGUGCCCUCCAGGGGUCCAUGGGGUGCCCUGCAGGGGCUCAGUGGAGUGCCCUCCAGGGGUCCAUGGGGUGAGCCCUCCAGGGGUCAGUGGAUGCCCUCCAGGGGUCCAUGGGGUGAGCCCUCCAGGGGUCUGUGGGUGCCCUCCAGGGGUCAGUGGGUGCCCUCCAG
This 1789-nucleotide long non-coding RNA is filed under the name Oryctolagus cuniculus (rabbit). RNAcentral describes it as "lncRNA (ENSOCUG00000034939.1)". Lineage: Eukaryota; Metazoa; Chordata; Mammalia; Lagomorpha; Leporidae. The record is from RNAcentral.